RNAcentral lists this small nucleolar RNA (82 nucleotides) under Carlito syrichta (Philippine tarsier). RNAcentral describes it as "Small nucleolar RNA SNORD115 (ENSTSYG00000021376.2)". It matches the Rfam family "Small nucleolar RNA SNORD115". Rfam says of the family: HBII-52 is a member of the C/D class of snoRNAs, which contain the C (UGAUGA) and D (CUGA) box motifs. Lineage: Eukaryota; Metazoa; Chordata; Mammalia; Primates; Tarsiidae. The record is from Rfam by way of RNAcentral.
GUAACAGUAAUAAGAACUUUAUAUUGUCUAGAAGAGAGGUGACGACUUAAAAAUCAUGCUUAAUAGGAUUUCACUGAGGUCC